This 429-nucleotide ribosomal RNA is filed under the name Bacteroidota bacterium. Its description in RNAcentral is "Bacteroidetes bacterium partial 16S ribosomal RNA". It matches the Rfam family "Bacterial small subunit ribosomal RNA", at positions 355 to 776 of the family's 1533-position model. The record is from RNAcentral. Lineage: Bacteria; Pseudomonadati; Bacteroidota.
UAGGGAAUUUUCCGCAAUGGGCGAAAGCCUGACGGAGCAACGCCGCGUGAGUGAUGAAGGUCUUCGGAUCGUAAAACUCUGUUCUUAGGGAAGAACAAAUGUGUAAGUAACUAUGCACAUCUUGACGGUACCUAAUCAGAAAGCCACGGCUAACUACGUGCCAGCAGCCGCGGUAAUACGUAGGUGGCAAGCGUUAUCCGGAAUUAUUGGGCGUAAAGCGCGCGUAGGCGGUUUUUUAAGUCUGAUGUGAAAGCCCACGGCUCAACCGUGGAGGGUCAUUGGAAACUGGAAAACUUGAGUGCAGAAGAGGAAAGUGGAAUUCCAGGUGUAGCGGUGAAAUGCGCAGAGAUAUGGAGGAACACCAGUGGCGAAGGCGACUUUCUGGUCUGUAACUGACGCGGAUGGGCGAAAGCGUGGGGAUCAAACAGG